Molecule: long non-coding RNA, 661 nt
Organism: Vombatus ursinus (common wombat)
Lineage: Eukaryota; Metazoa; Chordata; Mammalia; Diprotodontia; Vombatidae
Exons: 4
Source: RefSeq, a predicted model, not a curated record
AGGAUUAUUCCCAGGAAGAGCUGAGCAGUGUUCCUCUUGUGGACAAAUUUCAUUUUGACAAAGUCACUGUUUCUUUUCAAAGGAGAGAGAGCUGAGAUGGAGUAAGGUCACAUGAGUUGGCACUCUUGACUUGACUGGAAGAAGUGAAGGCAAAACAAAAGGCAAAAGGAUCACCAGGAAGAGGCAGAAAAGUUUCAUGGAUCCUAAGAGAGAGGUGAAAAUACAAGACUGUCACUUUAAAUCUUUGGCAGUAGACCAACUGAAAGUAACUGGUGCUAUAAUUUGAAGGGCUAGCAGUAAAUAGCUCUUAGAAAAAUUGAAAUUUAUACUUUACCAUUAGUGAUUAUAAAUCCAGAUUUGAUUUGGUCCUGAAACUAAAUCAUCCUGUGGUCUCAUUUGUAGUGAAAUCUGUUCCCCUAUCAGGAUAAUUGUGGUAAAUCAGAACUUAAUGUAAAAAUGCAUUUAUUAUUUGGCAUUAAGGAAGAAGAAAAAAAAUGCUAGAAAAUGCAUGAAUCAGGAAAACCUGAGUCAAAAAAAUCCAGUCUCAGCAAGUAAUUCAGUCUCAGAAAUGUAUUGACUAUGUGACUUCACUUCUGUUUACCUCAGUUUCCCCAUCUAUAAAGGGGGAAAUGAAAUAAUAGUACCCACCUCUCAGGGUUGU